UCUCUCCAUCACAUGGUCUGUGACUUCCUGCGGCAGAGUAAUCCCUUAAUCCUGCUUUAGCUCUGUUAAUUUUCCUUCUUUCCUCUUUUCUGAUCCGCUUUCUCUGUGGGGCAUGAAUCCUGGUGUUUCUCUGUGGAGCUUGUGCCUGGGAGAGAGAGCAGGGAGGCAGCUGCUGCACAUUCAGCCUGCCUUCUGAUCACUUCGUACCAUGCGGCAGGGCCCCUGGGAUGGUGGUGCCUGAAUGUGUCCCAUUCUCUCUGUCUUACAGGCUCUGCAGUCUGCGUCUGAAGAAGCUCACAGUACUUAGGGAACUGGACAAGGAGCUGAGCUCUGUGCUUAUUGCUGUGAAGAUCCAGGGUUCAAAGCGAGUCCUGAGAUCCAAUGAGUAUGUCCUUCCCCCUGGUGGCCUGAUGGAGACGGACCUGGAACUGACAUUCUCUUUACAGUAUCCACAUUUCCUGAAGAGGGAUGGCAACAAACUGCAAAUCAUGCUACAGCGAAAGAAGAGGUAUAAGAACCGCACUUUUCUGGGCUACAAGACUCUGGCAGUUGGCAUCAUCAACAUGGCUGAAGUAAUGCAGCACCCAACAGAUGGAGGGCAGCUUCUCAGCCUGCACAGCAGCAUGAAGGACGUGAGCAUCCGAGUGGCUGAAAUCAGUAUCUAUUCCCUGUCGAGCCAACCCAUUGACCAUGAAGAUGGAAAUGUGCCCUCUGGCCCCAAAAUCAAAGCCUCAGAUCGUUCUCCAGACAUUGAUAACUACUCUGAGGAAGAGGAUGAUAGCUACUCCUCGGAGCAGGAAGCCAGUGACGAUGCUGUACAGGGCCAGGAUUUAUAUGAUGAAGAAGAUGAAAUGAGGAAGCCUAAGAAAGCCAGGAGGAAAAUGAUCAGAACCACAUCAAUGACCAGACAACCAAACUUCAAGCAGAAAUUUGUUGCUUUGCUGAAGAGAUUUAAAGUAACAGAUGAGGUUCUGGAUUCCGACCCAGUGGAUCAAACCCAGGAUGUGGAGGAGGACCUGGGUCUUCUUUAUGACAGCUUGGAGGAAUGCAACAACAGCGACAGUGGCCCAGAGAUGGAGGAUAAUGAGAGUGUGCACAGCACACCCAAGCCCACCCUGAGGCGUUUCUUUGAGGGAGUCUCUCACUCUGGUUCCCAGAGUGAGAUCGGCAGUCUGCACGGCCAGAAAGGGCAGGAGCGAGAAUCUGGCAGCCCUGGAGAAGUGGACAAGUGGAAAGUUGGAACCUCACGGGCCCUGGAGGAGGUUGGCACGGAGGUCUCUACUGGACAGGAGCUAGAAGCAGAAGUGUCCUCCCCUUGGCCAGGCCCAACAGAGACCUCUGCAAGGGAGAGCAAUGUGGACAGACUAGCCCAGCUGGGCAACACCAGCAAGUCUGAACUUCCGAGCACCGUGUCACCCAGCAAGGCUGAGAGCAAGCAGCUGUGGCGGCCCCGCAGCACCUCCAUGAAAGACCAGCAGAACUCGAAGGCCCAGAGUGACCGUGCCAGCAGCCUAGACAGCGAGAGCUCCCCGGACUCCCGGCUCAACACUCAGGCGCCCCGGAAGUCAGUUUAUGAUCAGCUGAACCAGAUCUUGGUCUCAGAUGAGCAGCUUCCCGAGAGCAUCAUCCUGGUGAAUGCUGCUGAAUGGCAAGGACAGUACGUGAGUGAGCAGCUCCAGGCACACAAGCAGCCCGUCGUCUCCACCUGCUCCAUGGCAGAUGUCCAGGCUGCCUUCAACACUAUCGUUGCUCGCAUCCAGAGAUACUGUAACUGUAACUCCCACAUGCCUCCCCCAGUCAAGGUGGUCGUGGCAGGAGACCAGAGCUACUUGAGUGUGGUCCUACGCUUCUUUGUGGAGCAGCUGGCCAGCAAGACCCCUGACUGGCUCAACUACCUCCGCUUCCUCCUGGUGCCGCUGGGCUCCCAUCCCCUGGCCAAAUACCUGGCAUCUGUGGAUAGUAAGUACAAUGCCCUCUUUCUGGACACAGCCUGGAGAGAGCUGUUCAGUAAAGUCGAGGCCCCCAGCUCAGACACUGUGGAUGUCCCAGGCCGAGUUGCCCAGUUCAUUGCAGGGGCCAGCCUCUCUCACCAGCUGCCCAUUUCGGAGGCCAUGCUGACUUACAAGCAGAAGAGGAAGAGAAGUCUCUAUUUUGAUUUUUAUAUCAGCCCGGAUGAGGACUCCUGCCAGAAGUUUGUGCCAUUCGUGGGGGUGGUGAAGGUGGGGCUUGUGGAACAGUCCUUCAGUGCCUCAGUGGACUCUGAUGACGCCACCAUCUGCACCACCUCCCUCCUGAGCUCUGGUACACCAUCAGGUGGAAGCACUACAUACAGCAAGGAGGCUGUUGGCACCCCACCGCCUUCUCCGUCCAUCAGUAGCAGCCUCUCAGGGACUGGGUCCCUGAGCCCUGGGGUGGAGGUAAUGGGCUUGCAGGUUGAUUACUGGACAACUCAAGGGCCUGAGAAGAAAAAGGAGGGAGAGAAGCGGGAGACAGGCAUGAAGAACACGCUGAAGAGCAACUUCCGUUCGCUGCAGGUCAGCCGCCUGCCCAGCACUGGGGAGCCGGCCCCGCCCACCACCAUGGCCAUGACUGUGGUCACCAAGGAGAAGAACAAGAAAGUGAUGUUCCUGAGUAAGAAACCAAAAGAGAAGGACCUAGAGUCCAAAAGCCAGGUGAUUGAAGGGAUCACACGCCUGAUCUGCACUGCCAAACACCAGAACACUAUGCUGCGAGGUAAGGGUGGGGAGGCCUCAUAAUGCACUUUCACCCAGCUUCUCCUGCAGCUGGUACCAAGGCCACGGCACCAGGCAAGCAGGCCACUGCCGCUGCCUCUGCCCUUGGAGCCACAACAGCUGAAGCAGCUGAGUGAAAGCACCCCCUGGCUGUGCAUGUGCUGGGCCUUCAGGCUGACUGAGGUUUCCAUCGAUGGCGUGGAGUGGAACGAUGUGAAGUUUUUCCAGCUUGCAGCACAGUGGCCAACGCAUGUCAAGUAUCUCCCUGUGGGCAUCUUUGGCUACAUGAAGAGUGCAUGAGGUGGCACAGCAGCCGAGAGAAGGACUCUACUGAGCAGGGCCAGAGUGGGGAGCAGACCCUUUUCCUUUUCCUUUCCCUUCCCCUCCCACCAGGCACCGUAGGAGCUGCCUCCUGCCAGCAUGGGCUGGCUGCAAGUGUGGCCCCUUCCCUGUUCUUCAGGGAGAUGACACAUCUCUCUACAUGUACACCCUUGAGGCUUUUUAAUGUGAUGCUGUGGCAGGUGAAACAGUAUCAGGCAGCUUCCAGUAACAGCUAGAAAUCUGAGCCUGUCCCCUCCCAUUACAAGGGCGUAGCAGCGCCCCUGCCCUGGGGUAGGGAUGGAGGCUAGGAACUGCCACAGAGACCAAUGCUGCAGUAGUACUGAGGACCUAGGCAAGAGGAGCCCUGCUGCCUACCUAGGUGCACAAGUGCAGGUUAGAGGAGCCCCUAUAUCCUGUCAUCUAAGAAACCUGCCCUCUCCCCCCACCCUGCUGAGCCACUGAGGUUAGAUGGCCUCUACAUGAGUGUUUUGAGCCAUGGAGCCCAAGGGGCAGGGGAAGAGAUGCAAGCUGUGCUCCGCAGGGAGCAGUCACCCCAUGGCAGAAAUGGCUGGCAGCACCAGUCAGGUCACAGGAAGGACACUAGGCAAGGGGUCUCUUCCCCUGCAAUCAGCUUUUCCUGGGUGGUUGUGGCUGGGGGCAGUGAACAGAUGGCAAGACUCAGAAUGCCAGCUGGGACACAAAGCUAAGUGAGCAGCAUUCCCCAGGCUGGGAGGCAAGAACUCACCCUGCAAACAACAGCAAGAGGCCCCCACUACUCUAAAGCCCUGUGGCAUGAAAGAGGCAGGUGAGUUGAGCAAAGCAGAAGACAGCAAGAGCUGCACACAGGGCACAGGGAAAGGCAAGGACAGGGUCAGUCAAUGUCAGCUUGUGGGCAGGCAGUGCCCCUACCCUGGCGUCAAGCAUGUGUGGUGUUCGUGGUUGUGCUGUGCUGCCAUGUUCUCUUGCAGUGUUGGAGCUAUG
This is an RNA transcript of Alligator sinensis (Chinese alligator), 4034 nucleotides long. It is a transcript of the gene named phosphofurin acidic cluster sorting protein 2-like, with no coding region annotated. The transcript is spliced from 24 exons. The record is from RefSeq and is a predicted model, not a curated record. NCBI's taxonomy places the organism in Eukaryota, Metazoa, Chordata, Crocodylia, Alligatoridae.